CCUACGGGAGGCAGCAGUGGGGAAUCUUGCGCAAUGGGCGAAAGCCUGACGCAGCAACGCCGCGUGCGGGAAGAAGGCUCUCGGGUUGUAAACCGCUUUCAGAAGGAACGAAACUGACGGUACUUUCAGAAGAAGGUGCGGCCAACUACGUGCCAGCAGCCGCGGUGACACGUAGGCACCAAGCGUUGUCCGGAUUUAUUGGGCGUAAAGAGCUCGUAGGCGGUUCAGUAAGUCGGGUGUGAAAACUUUGGGCUUAACCCAAAGCCUGCAUCCGAUACUGCUGUGACUUGAGUACGGUAGGGGAGCGGGGAAUUUCUAGUGUAGCGGUGAAAUGCGCAGAUAUUAGAAGGAACACCGGUGGCGAAGGCGCCGCUCUGGGCCGUAACUGACGCUGAGGAGCGAAAGCGUGGGUAGCAAACAGGAUUAGAUACCCUGGUAGUCCACGCCGUAAACGUUGGGCACUAGGUGUGGGUCUCAACCAACGAGAUCCGCGCCGUCGCUAACGCAUUAAGUGCCCCGCCUGGGAGUACGGCCGCAAGGUUAAAACUCAAAUGAAUUGACGG
This 563-nucleotide ribosomal RNA is filed under the name uncultured bacterium. RNAcentral's name for it is "bacterial SSU rRNA". It matches the Rfam family "Bacterial small subunit ribosomal RNA", at positions 338 to 916 of the family's 1533-position model. The record is from RNAcentral.